RNAcentral lists this long non-coding RNA (643 nucleotides) under Marmota monax (woodchuck). Lineage: Eukaryota; Metazoa; Chordata; Mammalia; Rodentia; Sciuridae. The record is from RNAcentral.
CCAUAAAAGCCAAAGUUCUAAACAGCUUAAUUGGGUUAUAUUAUACACCUUCUGGUGGGCCCAAAAGAGAUUUCCGCAAUGUGCAAUAAACUGGAGAAGUGAGAAAAGCUUCUCUUUCUCUGAAAAGAGUGAACUGAAUCUUAUGACUCUUAACCUCUCAUAAGCCCAAACUCAAAAUAUAAAUCCAUAAGAUGCACAGCACCUCAUGCAUCUUCUGAGGCAGUAUGCAUUUUACAUGCAGCAAUAUUUAAUUGCUAAGGCUCUUGGGGGAAAAGGAAAAACAUAAGUGCAUAAGUGUAUGCCUUUGAACUUCCAAAAUGUCAAGGUCAUCACCUUUAACCUCUCUGAAUAAUUAGGCGCCUUAAGGUUCUUCUGUGAUUUUCAACUGCCACCCACUCUCAUACAUACAUGCUCACACAUACAGACCCAUGCACACAUUUAUGACCACACAGAAUCCUACUGGGUGCUCCCCAUAAAUCUAAGAAAAUUUCUAAUUUCAGGAUCAAUAACCUUAAUUUCCCUUCAAAUAUUUGAGCAAUUCAGUAGCAAUUGACUUCUUUUUUGAAAAUACUGGUUAGACUAAAAUGCUUAUUAGCUUUCACUACAACUGGGAUGUGCUGGAGAUGUGUGUGGGGGGGGGUCU